Molecule: ribosomal RNA, 323 nt
Filed under: uncultured eukaryote
Lineage: Eukaryota
Description: partial 18S ribosomal RNA
Rfam family: Eukaryotic small subunit ribosomal RNA
Source: RNAcentral
CCCUUAGAUGUUCUGGGCUGCACGCGUGCUACACUGAUAUUGCCAAUAUGUCAUUCUUAUCCGAAAUGGAUUGGGUAAUCAAGUAAUGAAAUUUCAUGCUUGGAAUCGGUAAUUGCAAUUUUAUCGUGAACGAGGAAUUCCUAGUAAGCACUAGUCAUCAGCUAAUGUUGAUUAUGUCCCUGCCCUUUGUACACACCGCCCGUCGCUACUACUGAUUGGGUGUUCAAGUGAGAUGCUUAGACCCUUGUUGCAUGGUUCAUUAUUGGGCUCCGAAAGGAAAAAGUUUCAAGCUUGAGUGUCUAGAGGAAGUAAAAGUCGUAACA